RNAcentral lists this ribosomal RNA (520 nucleotides) under uncultured bacterium. Its description in RNAcentral is "bacterial SSU rRNA". It matches the Rfam family "Archaeal small subunit ribosomal RNA", at positions 324 to 801 of the family's 1478-position model. The record is from RNAcentral.
UACGGGAGGCAGCAGGCGCGAAAACUCCGCAAUGCUCGAAAGAGUGACGGGGGGAUUCCAAGUGCCUACGCUCAGCGUAGGCUGUUCAGAUGCCUAAAAGGCAUCUGGAGUAAGGGCUGGGUAAGACGGGUGCCAUCUGCAGUGGUAGCGAAAGAUUUGGCUUGCUACUGCAAGGCAUAAGCCGCCGCGGUAAUACCCGCAGCUCGAGUGGUAGUCGAUUUUAUUGGGCCUAAAGCGUCCGUAUCCGGUCUGGUAAAUGCUUGGGUAAAUCGUCUGGCUUAACCAGACGAAUUCCGGGUAGACUACCAGACUUGGGACCGGUUGAGGAAGAGGGUACUUCAGGGGUAGGAGUGAAAUCCUGUAAUCCUUGAAGGACCACCAGUGGCGAAGGCGCUCUUCUAGGACGGGUCCGACGGUGAGGGACGAAAGCCAGGGGAGCAAACCGGAUUAGAUACCCGGGUAGUCCUGGCCGUAAACGAUGUGGGCUUGGCAUUGGGGGUUCUACGUGAGCGCCCAGUGU